This 271-nucleotide ribosomal RNA is filed under the name uncultured bacterium. RNAcentral describes it as "partial 16S ribosomal RNA". It matches the Rfam family "Bacterial small subunit ribosomal RNA", at positions 524 to 794 of the family's 1533-position model. The record is from RNAcentral.
UACGUAGGGGGCGAGCGUUGUCCGGAAUCAUUGGGCGUAAAGCGCACGUAGGCGGUUUGGUAAGUUGGAUGUGAAAACCCUGGGCUCAACCCUGGAAGUGCAUCCAAGACUGUCAAGCUAGAGUGUCGGAGGGGGUCGGAGAAUUCCCGGUGUAGAGGUGAAAUUCGUAGAUAUCGGGAGGAACAUCUGUGGCGAAGGCGCCGACCUGGACGACAACUGACGCUGAGGUGCGAAAGCAUGGGGAGCAAACAGGAUUAGAUACCCCAGUAGU